GGGAAAAAAAUUAGCAUUAGGCACUGCAUUUUAAUAAAGCAUCUGUCUGGUUUUGAUUUCACAGAUAUAAAAAAAAAAUACAGGCAAUCUGGAAUUAAGCUGGACUACUUCAAACUUUCUAUAAACCACAUUUGGGAUUUGCUCAGCAUUUCUGAGGUUCAAUUUACAGAGACUUCUUCAAGUCAAAAUAACCCUAAAUAAACUGUGGGGGGAUGUUGUCAGGGUCGUGAUUCAUAAUCUGCUUCCACAAAAAGCACCCUCGGAUGGAGUGAGGCAGACUUUCCUUUAUCACUUUACCUGGCAUCAUCCAGGCUUGUUCUAAUUACAGAGAGGCUGUGAACUGCUCCAUUUAGGGACCUGGAGGAGAUUUUCCUUCCUGCAGUCAAUAUCAUCUGUGAGUUAAUCAAGGAGAACUUGGUUAUUAAUAGAACGUGUGGGUUCUCGGGUUGAACACGAGUCUGCAGUGGCUCUGUGUCCCCGGGGCAUGGGCACAGAGGAUGCUGGGACUCUGCGGACCCCGGCAAGAUGGGAGAGGCUGUCAGCUUUGAGGGUCUUUGUGGGCAAGGCCAGACCCUCUGGCAUCCACACCCCUCCACACGCAAAGGCUUUCCCGCCAGCAGCUCUAGCCCCUCAGCUGUCUUGCUUGGGGCGGGGGGUGGGACUUCAGCAGGCGCUGACCUUGAGCCAGACUCCCAGCUGCCCCUCCUGGCGACAGAGGACACCCCCAAACCUUGCUGCCCCUAGGACACCCUCCCUCCCCUGGGCAGUCAUGUGGACCAUCCAGAAUCCAGUGUCCCUGAGGGUUCGCCUGAUCACCUGCUGCUCUGGAACCCACCCCCUCACGGUCACAGGCUGCUUCCUCGAGUCCUCUGGCCGACACUAUGACGGUCUGGCCCUCCCAGAGAGGGCAGCUCACUUCCCUCCGUCCUCGUCUCAGCAGAGGAGCCAGGCAGGUGCAGCUCCUGCACCCUGGCUGGCACGUUUGAGCAGCCAACCCCGUCUGCACUGA
RNAcentral lists this long non-coding RNA (1009 nucleotides) under Capra hircus (goat). RNAcentral describes it as "lncRNA (ENSCHIG00010023922.1)". The record is from RNAcentral. Lineage: Eukaryota; Metazoa; Chordata; Mammalia; Artiodactyla; Bovidae.